Molecule: long non-coding RNA, 2441 nt
Organism: Vanessa atalanta (red admiral)
Lineage: Eukaryota; Metazoa; Arthropoda; Insecta; Lepidoptera; Nymphalidae
Exons: 3
Source: RefSeq, a predicted model, not a curated record
UCGGGGCGCGCGGGAGGACGGCAUAAGCGAUAUUGGGUUUUAUUAAGUAUGAAUGCAGCGUCUGACAGCAAACACCGUAUUUCCCGCGCGCCGCUCGCUUGUCCCACAUUCACGAACAUUACAACAAAUGUAAAUAGUGACACAAUUAACUUAUUGAUUCAAGGUUAAAAUUGGACAGAACAAUAUCAGGUUAGGGAUUUAAAAGUUACAUACAAGCAAAGGAGGAUAGACGGUUACAGUAAAAAACGGGCGGUUAAAACAGUGGAAGUGUACGAGGAAGCCAAGGUCAAGGGAUGAGUUCCCCAAGCGCUGACCAGACCUAGCCUAUUGCUUUCGUGCCGCAAACAGACAGGUUACGAAGAGGAGGAGGCAGGUCAUUCCAGCACCUAGUGGCGCAGAACCUAAAGCUUCCUCGGAAACUCACCGUUCUAUGUAUUGGCAUUCUAAGUUUUAUCAAUGACGCUCUAGUGACAUGCUCACUAUCAUUAUUUCCUAACCACUGUAAUUUAUGAUAGAGGUAAGGUGGAACCUGGUAUUUUAUAGUGCCAAAAAGUAACGUAGCGAAAUGUAAUUGCAUACGAUAAUUCAUUUUUAAGAUGUUAGCAUUAUUUAAAUAUGGUGUGAUAUGUGUACGUGGCGGUAUUUUAAAGCAGUAGCGAGCGCAGGCGUUCUGGACUCGUUGGAUGAUUUUUUUUGUACGUUCAAGUAAACGGGGCCCUAUAACUACAUCUGCAUAAUUAAAUUUAGAAAGAACUAACGCCUCACAAAGUCUAAUGCGUACUUUGGUAGAAAUGGAGUCUCUAAUAUUAUAAAGAAUUUUUAACCUAUAAAAACAGUUUUUGGCAAUAUUAUUUACAUGCUUUCAAAACGAAGUUCCUCGUCAAAUAGAACACCUAGGUUGCGCGCUUCAGUCACCCUUUGUAUACGUACACCUUUUAUAUCAAUAUUUGGAUCACAAUUACUAAUAAUUUGAAUUUGCCGCUCUCUACCAAGUAUCAUGUAUUUAGUUUUGUUAGCGUUCAUUUCUAGCGUGUUUGAAAUUGACCAACGGGCUAUACGAUCCAAAUCUUUGUUGAGUUGUUGCAAAGCUGCUUGUACCUUACAUGGCUUAAAAGAAAUAUACAACUGCAGAUCAUCAGCAUACAAGUGAUAGUUGCAGUGAUUAAUUUGUUUUACAAUAUCAGUUGUAUAAAUCGUAAAUAAAAUUGGUCCUAAAAUAGAGCCUUGUGGUACUCCUCUAGUUACAUGCCUUAUGUCUGAUUUAGCAACACUCCCAUCUUCUGACUUAAUCUCUACGUAUUGGCUGCGGCAACACAUAUAACUCGCAAACCAUUGUACAGUUUUGUCGUCGAACCCAUAAUAUGACAGCUUUGAUAUCAACAAUGGAAUGUUUAUGGUGUCAAACGCACGAGAGUAGUCUAGGAGUACUAGUAUAGUACCCUCGCCCCUGUCUCGAGCAGAUAGGAUAUCAUCGACAACGUCUGCUAAAGCAGUCGUAGUCCCUCGAUUUUUCCUAAAUCCUGAUUGUUUAUCUGGCAAAAUUUUAUUUAACUCCAAAAAGUCUCUUAGUUGAUUGCAUACAACUUUUUCAAGAAUCUUGGACAAACAUGGUAGAAUGCUUAUUGGACGUAAAUCUUUAAAUUCUAAGGGCGUGUCGAUCUUAGGUAUAGGUCUUACAAUAGCUUUGCACCAAAGAUCUGGGAAUUUGGAUGUUAAUAUGGAGGAGUUGACGAUUGCAGUAAUUACCUUUAUUGUGUAUUGCAGGGUUGGUAAUAUCAUGUCCAGAGAGAUCCCAUCUGCCCCGAUUGCAUUAGAAGUUAAUGUUUUAAUAAUUUUAAAAAUUUCGGAUUCUGUAACUGUUUUCAAGUAAAAGCUUGCGUCACUAAAUUUAUUGCGUUGAAAAUAUUCAAUAACUAAUCGAUCCGCAUUUAGACUACCGGGAAUUGCAAGGAAAAAAUUAUUAACUUCAUUUGGGUCACGUAACUGUUCUGGUAGAAUCAGAUCACCUUUUCUAUUGAUGUUAACAUUAUAUUUAAUGUGUUUCCAAAGAAUUUUUGCAUUUUUUAAAUUUUGAUUAAUAAAAGUUUCGAAAUAAGCCUUUUUUUCAUUUUUAAUUGAAACACGAACUAUAUUUUUCAAAUCUUUAUAAUAAUUAAUGUGCGCGUCUAUUUUACUUUUACGUGCUCUUAUAUGCGCAAUAUCCCGUAGUCUCAUCAUAAACUUAAUAAUAGAUGUGAUCCAGGGAUAAUGACGGAACUUAGAGUGCAAGGAUUUUAGAGGUGCAAGUGUGUCAUAAAUGCGUCGAAUCUCUGUAUUAAAUUGCCCUACCAUAUCAUCUACGCAUUGAAGUCCGGCAAUGCAGUCCCAGUUCACAAGUGCCAGACAUUUGUCUAAUUCACUUGGAUCUAUAGAUGUAAUGUCCCUGUAAAAAAAUGUUUUUG